Molecule: ribosomal RNA, 462 nt
Filed under: uncultured bacterium
Lineage: Bacteria
Description: partial 16S ribosomal RNA
Rfam family: Bacterial small subunit ribosomal RNA
Source: RNAcentral
GACGAACGCUGGCGGCGUGCUUAACACAUGCAAGUCGAGCGGAAAGGCCCUUCGGGGUACUCGAGCGGCGAACGGGUGAGUAACACGUGAGUAACCUGCCCCAGACUUUGGGAUAACCCUCGGAAACGGGGGCUAAUACCGGAUACGACACAGCUUCGCAUGGGGUCUGUGUGGAAAGUUUUUCGGUUUGGGAUGGGCUCGCGGCCUAUCAGCUUGUUGGUGGGGUGAUGGCCUACCAAGGCGACGACGGGUAGCCGGCCUGAGAGGGCGACCGGCCACACUGGGACUGAGACACGGACCAGACGCCUACGGGAGGCAGAAGUGGGGAAUAUUGCACAAUGGGCGGAAGCCUGAUGCAGCGACGCCGCGUGAGGGAUGACGGCCUUCGGGUUGUAAACCUCUUUCAGCAGGGACGAAGCGUAAGUGACGGUACCUGCAGAAGAAGCGCCGGCCAACUACGUG